RNAcentral lists this ribosomal RNA (491 nucleotides) under uncultured bacterium. Its description in RNAcentral is "partial 16S ribosomal RNA". It matches the Rfam family "Bacterial small subunit ribosomal RNA", at positions 29 to 506 of the family's 1533-position model. The record is from RNAcentral.
AGUGAACGCUGGCGGUAGGCCUAACACAUGCAAGUCGAACGGCAGCACAGUAAGAUCUUGCUCUUACGGGUGGCGAGUGGCGGACGGGUGAGGAAUACAUCGGAAUCUACUUUUUCGUGGGGGAUAACGUAGGUAAACUUACUCUAAUACCGCAUACGACCUACGGGUGAAAGCAGGGGAUCUUCGGACCUUGCGCGUUUGAAUGAGCCGUUGUCGGAUUAGCUAGUUGGCGGGGUAAAGGCCCACCAAGGCGACGAUCCGUAGCUGGUCUGAGAGGAUGAUCAGCCACAGUGGAACUGAGACACGGUCCAGACUCCUACGGGAGGCAGCAGUGGGGAAUAUUGGACAAUGGGCGCAAGCCUGAUCCAGCCAUACCGCGUGGGUGAAGAAGGCCUUCGGGUGGUAAAGCCCUUUUGUUGGGAAAGAAAAGCAGCAGGUUAAUACCCCGCUGUUCUGACGGUACCUAAAGAAUAAGCACCGGCUAACUUCGU